ACUCCUGCGGGAGGCAGCAGUGGGGAAUUUUGGACAAUGGGCGAAAGCCUGAUCCAGCAAUGCCGCGUGAGUGAAGAAGGCCUUCGGGUUGUAAAGCUCUUUUGUCAGGGAAGAAACGGUGAGAGCUAAUAUCUUUUGCUAAUGACGGUACCUGAAGAAUAAGCACCGGCUAACUACGUGCCAGCAGCCGCGGUAAUACGUAGGGUGCAAGCGUUAAUCGGAAUUACUGGGCGUAAAGCGUGCGCAGGCGGUUUUGUAAGUCUGAUGUGAAAUCCCCGGGCUCAACCUGGGAAUUGCAUUGGAGACUGCAAGGCUAGAAUCUGGCAGAGGGGGGUAGAAUUCCACGUGUAGCAGUGAAAUGCGUAGAUAUGUGGAGGAACACCGAUGGCGAAGGCAGCCCCCUGGGUCAAGAUUGACGCUCAUGCACGAAAGCGUGGGGAGCAAACAGGAUUAGAAACCCUGGUAGUCCCAUGA
RNAcentral lists this ribosomal RNA (474 nucleotides) under uncultured organism. RNAcentral describes it as "partial 16S ribosomal RNA". It matches the Rfam family "Bacterial small subunit ribosomal RNA", at positions 335 to 800 of the family's 1533-position model. The record is from RNAcentral.